AUACGGAGGGUGCGAGCGUUGUUCGGAAGUAUUGGGCGUAAAGAGCAUGUAGGCGGUCUGUUAAGUCUGGUGUGAAAGCCCGGGGCUCAACCCCGGAAGUGCAUUGGAUACUGGCAGACUUGAGUAUGGGAGAGGAAAGCGGAAUUCCGAGUGUAGGAGUGAAAUCCGUAGAUAUUCGGAGGAACACCAGUGGCGAAGGCGGCUUUCUGGACCAAUACUGACGCUGAGAUGCGAAAGCGUGGGGAGCAAACAGGAUUAGAUACCCUAGUAGUCC
RNAcentral lists this ribosomal RNA (274 nucleotides) under uncultured bacterium. RNAcentral's name for it is "partial 16S ribosomal RNA". It matches the Rfam family "Bacterial small subunit ribosomal RNA", at positions 523 to 796 of the family's 1533-position model. The record is from RNAcentral.